Molecule: long non-coding RNA, 1526 nt
Organism: Polyodon spathula (Mississippi paddlefish)
Lineage: Eukaryota; Metazoa; Chordata; Actinopteri; Acipenseriformes; Polyodontidae
Exons: 5
Source: RefSeq, a predicted model, not a curated record
UGUCAACAUCAUUUGCUAGUCACGGAAAUUGUAGAGUGAACAGUAAUUAUAACCGUUUACAGUGGAGUAUAAGGCGAGAGGUAAAAGUGAAUCCCCUUGGAACAAUCAGGACUGGGAAAGGUUUACUUUCAAUGCACACGCUGCUUUUGCACAAUGUGUAUAGCGAGGAUUCAUUUAGGCCCUGCAGGAUCCUUGGACUGUGACGGGACACUGAAAAGAUGAUGUCCAGUAUGUCAGGGCUGCUUCAAGCAAUAAACAGGGUGAAUAACAAUGGAUUAGGCCAGGCUGGAAAAAAAGAAGGACUCAGAAAGACAGUCAGUUCAGCAGCUGUUACAUGCCUGGAGGCUACACAGAACGGAUAGAGCCGAGAUGCGGGUGGUAGAGUAAGAAACUAAAAGAGCAGCCACCAGCCACCAGCCACCAGCCACCAUCUACCAUCUAUGGAUACAUUCCCCCCAAAUAAACUUCCUGGAACAGAUGGAGGAUGAUAAAACAGACUUCACACUUACAUUCCACUGUGCAAGGACUUUGUUGUUUUACAUAGAAACAAACAAACAAACAGUUCAGUUUAAUCUAAAGUUAUGUGUGUAAAAAAAAAAAAAAAAAAAAACAUGGUCAAUUGUUAGUGUCCUGUUGCAGUAAUAAAAUGUCUAGACAGCAAUUAACAUCAAUUUCCCUCAAGAGUUUAAGCAUGUCAUCAGCACUAGAGCUGGGUUUCAGGGACCAAUUGUCAAUCCAUUUUUUAAAUUGAACCGUGUUUUCUUUUGCAGGACCUUUAGCCAUCCUGGCCUGACAAGGGUGCUAAAUCAGAUAAAGCCAAGAUGUUGGUCUGUUUUUGUCCAGCAAGCACCCCCUGUAAAUGCAAGUUUAAGUUCUCCGUUCAGUUCUGCCCCUAACUCUGUUACAGUACCAAUAGCACAUUUCUUGAUUGAAUGUUAGUUGAAAGAUUAUAAAAAGAGAUAACCUCAAAUGAAUUAGAUAUGUUAAUUGAAAGAUAAAAGAAGAGAUAACCUAAAAUGAAUGAGAUAUGCAUUUUUCAUCAUGACAUCCAUUUCUAAUUAGUUUUAAAUCCAGUUAUAUGAAAUGUCCUUUAAGUUGUUGUCAGAUUAAUUUUCUAUUUCCUCCAUAGGCUUCUAUAAUGCAUAUUCCUGUAUUAUCUGUUAAUAUGUUUUCUCUGCUUUAUCCUUUGUUUAACCAGGAAGUACCAUUUACAUUAAAAUAUAUUUUACAAGAAGAGACCUGGGGCCAGUUGCAUAAAACUAUAUUAGUCUAGUUUAAACCAUUAUACUAGUCUUACUUUGACAAUUAGACUAGUCUAAUGCAAGUUAGUCAGUUGCAUAAAAAUUAAGACUGACUGAGACUUAUUGACAGAAGCUCUAAGUUAGCCUCCUCAACCCCAGGCUAACUUAGAACUUUUGUCAAUGUUUCCAUGGAAACCAUUAACUGUGAGAAAGAAAUCAAUUGCACUAACAAAAUUAAUUAUAUAGUAUUUUAUUUUUUUUUUUUUACUUACAAUAGUAAAUAAA